This 413-nucleotide long non-coding RNA is filed under the name Moschus moschiferus (Siberian musk deer). RNAcentral's name for it is "lncRNA (ENSMMSG00000000706.1)". The record is from RNAcentral. Lineage: Eukaryota; Metazoa; Chordata; Mammalia; Artiodactyla; Moschidae.
UACACAACCCACCAGGUAUUUGGAGCCCAUGAAUAAUGUGCUUCUUCUUUGUCUGUAGAAUUGUUCUUGGCUGGAAGGACAUGCAGAGGAAGUGGUGAGUGGUCACAUCCCUGCCUGGAAGAAACCCUAAGAAGUGCCUGAACUGUACCUUUUUGUUUGCUCCUCUGCCCUGCAGAGUGCCCAGUUUGGUAAGGUGUCCUGUGAGAACCUGAAGUGUGAAGGAGCUGAAAGUUUUGGAGAGAAACUUUGGAUGCUGGUGGAUCGGUGAGAAAAAGCACUUAUUUUACCCCUGACCUGAGCACUGAAGAGAUACCCUCUCACCACUGUUGCAAAUUCAUGCUUCCAAGAACUGGUGAGUUGAAGAACUUAUCCAUUGUGUCUCCAUUAAAGAAGAUAUAUUGUAAAACAUAACU